AGUGAACGCUGGCGGUAGGCCUAACACAUGCAAGUCGAACGGCAGCACAGUAAGAGCUUGCUCUUACGGGUGGCGAGUGGCGGACGGGUGAGGAAUACAUCGGAAUCUACUUUUUCGUGGGGGAUAACGUAGGGAAACUUACGCUAAUACCGCAUACGACCUACGGGUGAAAGCAGGGGAUCUUCGGACCUUGCGCGAUUGAAUGAGCCGAUGUAGGAUUAGCUAGUUGGCGGGGUAAAGGCCCACCAAGGCGACUAUCCGUAGCUGGUCUGAGAGGAUGGUCAGCCACACGGGAAGUGAGACACGGUCCAGACUCCUACGGGAGGCAGCAGUGGGGAAUAGUGGACAAUGGGCGCAAGCCUGAUCCAGCCAUACCGCGUGGGUGAAGAAGGCCUUCGGGUUGUAAAGCCCUUUUGUUGGGAAAGAAAAGCAGCAGGUUAAUACCCCGCUGUUCUGACGGUACCCAAAGAAUAAGCACCGGCUAACUUCGUG
RNAcentral lists this ribosomal RNA (492 nucleotides) under uncultured bacterium. Its description in RNAcentral is "partial 16S ribosomal RNA". It matches the Rfam family "Bacterial small subunit ribosomal RNA", at positions 29 to 507 of the family's 1533-position model. The record is from RNAcentral.